CGGGGGCUACGCCCCCAACUAGAUUACGCAGCACUGUUCAAUCAAAGCAAUGCACUUCCGCAUUUGAGCUUGACUUUAAAUAGCAGCCAUUGCCGGCUUCUUUGCGGCCUGACUUCUUGGAGUGUACCUCCCUAUAGAUCACUGGUGGUUGACAGGUUCCUAUUGUCGGCGCUGAACCCCAGGCAAACAUUCCGCCACAUCCCCGUUUAAGCCUUGGUUGUCCUGAUCAGGAAGGCUUGGUGCGACGAUGACUGGGUGAAAGACGAGCUUUCUUAGAGUUGGUAGCCUACAAGGAAGAACUCCCGUUAAUGCCACUGCUGUUUUGCCAUACGUAUGGUUUUCUGCGAUUUGGUGUAACUUGUUUGUGUUGUCUGCUAUAGACUGGCUGCCUGGUUAACGCUGUCGCUAGUUAGGCUACACGGCUGGUGUAGGCUACGCUUGGCUUGUCCUGUCGCCUAUGAAUGUAUGUCCGUGUCCUUGGUCUUUUUUUGGAUAUGUGUGCUGUUUCUUUUGUUUUGUUUGCCAAACCAACUGUGUUCGUUCAAUCCCUCCUAAAAAUUGUAUUUAACAACAGUCUCUUUCCCUCGUAGCUUAUUAGUCCUGUUGCUGGAGAGUUUAUAUGCAUCAGGCCCACGGAUGGUGCAAGCCCUUUUUCUUCCUCCCCUAUGUUCACUGCAUGCUUAGUGAGGCUUUCUGGUGUUCACCCAUAAAUGUGUGCCUGCACUAUUUGCUUGCUGUGAGUGUGGAUAACCGUGUGUUUGGUGUGUGUGAAUAAUUUUCUUAUGCACAGGUGAGGGGUGUCUUGGGGUCCUCCUUCGCCCUCCAGUGGCGCACCUGAUGCUCUCUCUCUCCACAGCGGUAUUGACUAGAACAUGCAUAUCUAUAACUAAGCUAUCUAGUUUUUCAGACUGCAAUUAUUAGGUGUGAUUGAUAUGAUAUCAGUAGCUCCAUUUAUUGUUAAAAUAUAUAUUUUUACUAAUUGGCUUCCUUCCCCAUCUUA
This is a long non-coding RNA of Alosa alosa (allis shad), 1000 nucleotides long. RefSeq lists it as uncharacterized. The transcript is spliced from 4 exons. NCBI's taxonomy places the organism in Eukaryota, Metazoa, Chordata, Actinopteri, Clupeiformes, Clupeidae. The record is from RefSeq and is a predicted model, not a curated record.